AGAGUUAAAAAGUACGUGAAAUUGUUAAAAGGGAAACGCUUGGAACCAGUAUUGCCUCCAGGUAAUCAAGUACACGUCCUGAAAGGGUCGCGUGUGGUGCACUUGCCUGUAGGCAGGCCAACAUCAGUUUGGUUUGGGGUAAAAAGCCAGAGAAAGGUAGCUUGGAUUCGUCCGAGUGUUAUAGUCUCUGGUCAUGCCUUGGACUGGACUGAGGUCUGCAGCGUUAUUUGGGUACCCGGUUGCCUCUUGAACCAUUCUCUUCAGACAGCAUGCUGACUUUAGAGAUGUCUAAGGAGCCCAGUCGGCUUGCUACACCAGCGCUUAGGAUGUUGGCGAAAUGGUUCCAAACGACC
This 353-nucleotide non-coding RNA is filed under the name uncultured fungus. The record is from RNAcentral. RNAcentral also lists the same sequence under 1 other name. Lineage: Eukaryota; Fungi.